UGAGUAACGCGUAUGCAACCUACCUAUCGAGACGGGGAAUAACCCGGCGAAAGUCGGACUAAUACCGCAUAAAACAGGGGCACCGCAUGGUGAUAUUUGUUAAAGAAUUCGCUGAUAGAUGGGCAUGCGUUCCAUUAGGUAGUUGGUGAGGUAACGGCUCACCAAGCCGACGAUGGAUAGGGGAACUGAGAGGUUGGUCCCCCCACACUGGUACUGAGACACGGACCAGACUCCUACGGGAGGCAGCAGUGAGGAAUAUUGGUCAAAUGGGGCGGGAGCCUGAACCAGCCAAGUCGCGUAGAAGGAAGAAGGAUCUAUGGUUCGUAAACUUCUUUUGCAGGGGAAUAAAGUGCAGGACGUGUCCUGUUUUGUAUGUACCCUGAGAAUAAGGAUCGGCUAACUCCGUGCCAGCCGCUGC
RNAcentral lists this ribosomal RNA (418 nucleotides) under uncultured bacterium. Its description in RNAcentral is "bacterial SSU rRNA". It matches the Rfam family "Bacterial small subunit ribosomal RNA", at positions 107 to 518 of the family's 1533-position model. The record is from RNAcentral.